RNAcentral lists this ribosomal RNA (406 nucleotides) under uncultured bacterium. Its description in RNAcentral is "partial 16S ribosomal RNA". It matches the Rfam family "Bacterial small subunit ribosomal RNA", at positions 30 to 526 of the family's 1533-position model. The record is from RNAcentral.
AUUGAACGCUGGCGGCAGGCCUAACACAUGCAAGUCGAACGAGUGGCGGACGGGUGAGUAAUGUCUGGGAAACGGCCUGCUGGAGGGGGAUCACUACUGGAAACGGUAGCUAAUACCGCAUACCAUCGGAUGUUCCGAGAUGGGCAUAGCUAGUAGGUGGGGUAACGGGUCACCUAGGUGACGAUCCCUAGCUGGUCUGCGAGGAUGACCAGCCACACUGUAACUGAGACACGGUCCAGACUCCUACGGGAGGCAGCAGUGGGGAAUAUUGGACAAUGGGCGCAAGCCUGAUGCAGCCAUGCCGCGUGUAUGAAGAAGGCCUUCGGGUUGUAAAGUACUUUCAGCGGGGAGGCGUUACCCGCAGAAGAAGCACCGGCUAACUCCGUGCCAGCAGCCGCGGUAAUUC